CAGAAGGUUGAGGCUGCAGUGAGCCAUGAUUGUACCACUGCACUCCAGACUGGGUGACAGAGUAAGACCCCGUCUUAUUCAUUCAUUCAUAAAUUAAUCGAUUUUUAAAAAUAAGUAAAAAAAAAUAUUUGGGUAGAUUUAAUCUGUCUCAGAUAGUAACUUGAAUGCAUUUUUUUUUCAGAUUCAGACAUUCACACAGCUUGAAGAAGAUCUAAAAGAUGAAGAUGAGUCAUUGAGGUAAGCAGUACAAGAUCUGUACACAAGAGGAAAAGAUAGUCACGAUUAAAGCACGUCACUUUAGAUAUAGAGUUGUCUAAUGUUAAAUGCUGUUAUCUUGAAGUACUUGUGAAAGGACCAGCUAUUCCAAAAAUUUCUUAAAAAGAAAAUUCUUCUGAGGGACAGGUCAUAGGUGAAUGGACUAUAACAGAUCUGAAUGAAUUUAUAACAAGCGUUUCUUUGCAAAUUUAUAGAAGCACCAACAAAGUAAACAGAACGAAAGUUUCAGUCCCGGAUGCAAAUGGACCC
This 525-nucleotide long non-coding RNA is filed under the name Homo sapiens (human). RNAcentral describes it as "HSALNT0273291". The record is from RNAcentral. Lineage: Eukaryota; Metazoa; Chordata; Mammalia; Primates; Hominidae.